GAUGAACGCUGGCGGCGUGCCUAAUACAUGCAAGUCGAACGCGCAGCGAAAGGUGCUUGCACCUUUCAAGCGAGUGGCGAACGGGUGAGUAACACGUGGAUAACCUGCCUCAAGGCCGGGGAUAACAUUUGGAAACAGAUGCUAAUACCGAAUAAAACUUAGUAUCGCAUGAUACAAAGUUAAAAGGCGCUACGGCGUCACCUAGAGAUGGAUCCGCGGUGCAUUAGUUAGUUGGUGGGGUAAAGGCUUACCAAGACGAUGAUGCAUAGCCGAGUUGAGGGAAGGAUCGGCCACAUUGGGACUGAGACACGGCCCAAACUCCUACGGGAGGCUGCAGUAGGGAAUCUUCCACAAGGGGCGCAAGCCUGAUGGAGCAACGCCGCGUGUGUGAUGAAGGCUUUCGGGUCGUAAAGCACUGUUGUAUGGGAAGAAAUGCUAAAAUAGGGAAUGAUUUUAGUUUGACGGUACCAUACCAGAAAGGGACGGCUAAAUACGUGCCAGCAGCCGCAGUAA
This 513-nucleotide ribosomal RNA is filed under the name uncultured bacterium. RNAcentral's name for it is "partial 16S ribosomal RNA". It matches the Rfam family "Bacterial small subunit ribosomal RNA", at positions 28 to 523 of the family's 1533-position model. The record is from RNAcentral.